RNAcentral lists this long non-coding RNA (290 nucleotides) under Mytilus galloprovincialis (Mediterranean mussel). Lineage: Eukaryota; Metazoa; Mollusca; Bivalvia; Mytilida; Mytilidae. The record is from RNAcentral.
UCGGGUCAAUUUGAGGUCAAAUAUCUCUGACAACAAGGAGCUCCAAUACACAAUUUCUUGUUUAUUUCAUCAAAAAGAAUAAAUAUCGCUGUGAAAUCUUCUUUUCUAUUUGAUCUGUUUUCAUUGAUAAUUCAACUGCACUACAAUUUUACAACUGUCAACAAUAUCUGACCCUUUCAUCUUGUGAUAAUCCACAAAAAAACAAAUGUUAUGUAAGAAGUAGGUCACGAUUGUGCAUACAAACUUAUUGAAAAGCACGCCGCCAUUUUGUGCAGCAAUUCUAAAAGGUC